Molecule: signal recognition particle RNA, 152 nt
Filed under: Eubacteriales Family XIII. Incertae Sedis bacterium
Lineage: Bacteria; Bacillati; Bacillota; Clostridia; Peptostreptococcales; Anaerovoracaceae
Description: signal recognition particle sRNA large type
Rfam family: Bacterial large signal recognition particle RNA
About the family: The signal recognition particle (SRP) is a universally conserved ribonucleoprotein involved in the co-translational targeting of proteins to membranes. Archaeal SRP consists of a 7S RNA and homologues of the eukaryotic SRP19 and SRP54 proteins.
Source: RNAcentral
UAGCACACAGGGGCGGCUGCGCCGCCCCUCUCGGGCAGGGCCGGGCCCUGCGCAAUAGGAACCCCCGAACCUUGUCAGGUCCGGAAGGAAGCAGCAAUAAGAGGGAUCUCCUAUGUGCCGCAGGCAAACCCGGUCCUGCCGGGGAUGUGCUA